This is a long non-coding RNA of Herpailurus yagouaroundi (jaguarundi), 1068 nucleotides long. RefSeq lists it as uncharacterized. NCBI's taxonomy places the organism in Eukaryota, Metazoa, Chordata, Mammalia, Carnivora, Felidae. The transcript is spliced from 3 exons. The record is from RefSeq and is a predicted model, not a curated record.
GACUCCUGGAACGAAAGAAAUUUUGUUUAUAAUUUGGCCUAUCGAGGAUUAACAAUGACCGUUUUGUUAGCAUGAAAGCUAACUUAGCAUUGAAAGCCUUCCCAUCUUCCCUCUCCAAACGUAUGUCCUGUUCUUCCCUUCAUACAUGCAACCCCUUCUCACUGUGCCCAGUACCACCCAGGUCUGGCAGCACUAACCUUUUCCGGCGCUCUCCCUGCUGAGCAUCUUACGUACUGUUGAAGGUGUAGUAGAAAUCACCUUCUUGGAGAAUCUUCCCUGAUCCCUAAGCCAGAAUCCAGCUUUCCUUCUAUUGAAUUCCUCUAGUCUUCCCCCUGUACCUCUCACUUGCCAGACGCUCUGGUUUGUUUUGAUGGUAAUUUUGAAACAUAUUUUAUCUCCUUACUCCAUUAAGAGCCUGGGGGGUGGGGGCAGGAUCCCUAUCUGGCCAGCCUUUGUAUUCCCUAUGAGGCUUUCUUUACACACAGUAGGUGCUCAGGAGAUAUUUCUGGAAUAAGGGAGUAAACUAAGGAAGUAAGAAAUCCAGGAAAGGUUCUCAUGUUCAGUAUGAGACUUUUCACAUCAGUAGCUCUGACCACCAGGCAACAAGAUGACAGGCAAUACAUCUGGAGCACAAAAAGAAGUCGACGGGCAUGCAAUGACACUGUUUUGCUGUGAACGAGAAAAACUGAAAUGAUUGCCUAUUCACAUCCUUUGCCAAAAUGCUAAUGAGAACCGAGUCCCAAGAGCUGCACCAAGAGUUCUAGAUGAAAGAAGCCACGAGGAAGCAAAUGCAGAGGCCUCUAGAAGCUGAGAGAGACCAUGACCAACAGCCAGCAAGGAAAUGAGGACUUCGUCCUGUAACCACACGGGACUGAAUGUUGCUAACACCGGCAUGAGCAAGGAAACAGAUUCCUCCCUUGAUCUUUGAGAAAGAAUGCAUCCCUGUAGACGCCUUGAUUUUAAGCUGGUGAGACCAUAUCAGACUCACCAACUGAAGUAUGUAAUGGUAUAUUUGUGUUGCUUAAAGCCAUUAGAUCUAUGGCAAUUUGUUACAGUGACACUAGAAAA